This 28-nucleotide small RNA is filed under the name Bombyx mori (domestic silkworm). RNAcentral's name for it is "ovarian small RNA-33652". The record is from RNAcentral. Lineage: Eukaryota; Metazoa; Arthropoda; Insecta; Lepidoptera; Bombycidae.
UGCCAACGCACUGCCUCGUGGUCGGAGG